AACGAACGCUGGCGGCAGGCCUAACACAUGCAAGUCGAGCGAGCAUUUCGGUGCUAGCGGCGGACGGGUGAGUAACGCGUGGGAACGUGCCCUUUUCUGCGGAAUAGUCCUGGGAAACUGGGGGUAAUACCGCAUACGCCCUUUUGGGGCAAGAUUUAUCGGAGAAGGAUCGGCCCGCGUUGGAUUAGGUAGUUGGUGGGGUAAUGGCCCACCAAGCCGACGAUCCAUAGCUGGUUUGAGAGGAUGAUCAGCCACACUGGGACUGGGACACGUCCCAGACUCCUACGGGAGGCAGCAGGGGGGAAUCAUAGACAAUGGGGGCAACCCUGAUCUAGCCAUGCCGCGUGAGUGAUGAAGGCCUUAGGGUUGUAAAGCUCUUUCAGCUGGGAAGAUAAUGACGGUACCAGCAGAAGAAGCCCCGGCUAACUCCGU
Molecule: ribosomal RNA, 432 nt
Filed under: uncultured bacterium
Lineage: Bacteria
Description: partial 16S ribosomal RNA
Rfam family: Bacterial small subunit ribosomal RNA
Source: RNAcentral